GCGACCUUAGGUCAGGCGGGG
Molecule: ribosomal RNA, 21 nt
Filed under: Platymiscium stipulare
Lineage: Eukaryota; Viridiplantae; Streptophyta; Magnoliopsida; Fabales; Fabaceae
Also listed under: 4 other names
Description: partial 28S ribosomal RNA
Source: RNAcentral